RNAcentral lists this ribosomal RNA (415 nucleotides) under uncultured archaeon. RNAcentral describes it as "bacterial SSU rRNA". It matches the Rfam family "Archaeal small subunit ribosomal RNA", at positions 459 to 873 of the family's 1478-position model. The record is from RNAcentral.
CAGCCGCCGCGGUAAUACCGGCAGCUCGAGUGGUGGCCGCUUUUAUUGGGCUUAAAGCGUUCGUAGCUGGGUUGUUAAGUCUCUUGGGAAAUCUGGCGGCUUAACCGUCAGGCGUCUAAGGGAUACUGGCAAUCUUGGAACCGGGAGAGGUGAGGGGUACUUCGGGGGUAGGAGUGAAAUCCUGUAAUCCUCGAGGGACCACCUGUGGCGAAGGCGCCUCACCAGAACGGCUUCGACAGUGAGGGACGAAAGCUGGGGGAGCAAACCGGAUUAGAUACCCGGGUAGACCCAGCCGUAAACUAUGCGCGUUAGGUGUAUCGGUGACCACGAGUUACCGAGGUGCCGAAGGGAAACCGUGAAACGUGCCGCCUGGGAAGUACGGUCGCAAGGCUGAAACUUAAAGGAAUUGGCGGGA